GGGAGGCAGGGGAGGAGAGACGAGGGAGAUAAAUUGGAGGAAAGUAUUGAAAUGGCCUCCAAGGUUUCUGUCCGUGAUAUUUUCCUUCUUCUCUGACUUUCUCUUCUGCCUUCCCUCUCUCUCUCUCACACUCUCUCUCAGCCUUUCUGUUUCUCGUAUGUCAGUGGACAUCUUAGCUACUUUAGCUCAUAUCCUAGCUAAGCCUGGUAAUUGACUCUGGGCUGUUUGGGCUGAUCUCCUAAAUCAGACACUGGAGCAGAGACCUUCAGCCCGCUGAGCUCACACCCCGGCUUUGAAGUAAUAACUGAUAGGCUGCUGAUAUUCGGUCAGCACGGUUAGCAUUCAUUUAUAGGAGCAUCAGAACAACAUCAACAUGUCUCAGGACUCAGGCUUGUCAACAGAGAUAAGGGAGUGCUACUAAACAUGCAGCUUCUUAGCUGGCUAACGUUAGUCACUGGUAAGCCUCCAUUCAGGAAUCAGCUGGUUUAGUUCAGAGUUGGAGGCUGUGAGAACACAACAGCUUCACUGAGAGGAUGGGACUACAUGCAGUCACUACCUCAUACCUAAGCUAACGGGCCGGGGAGAGCAGCAGAAGAUGGAACAUGGAUGAAGCACUUUUGAAGGAGUUGAACUGAGUAACAACUGAGGUAACAAGCGCAAUAAAAGCUGAAAUGAUAAAGGCCUUAAAAUUUGAUUUUAACUCAGUGCCAUUCUACAAGAAAGACCCUCCUGGUAGUAUUAAACAUGUCAACCUGAAUCAAGGAGUAUGGUGGCUUCCCAGGCAUUUAUCCUGAUGUGAUGCCAGCGCUGAGAGACCAGGGAAUCAACUUCCUUUGGAAGAGCUGUCUAGCAGUCCACAGAUAAAGAGAGAAAACAAAAACAAAGCUGAGGCUGAACCUGCUGCCAGCACCCAGCUUUACUCAACCUGCCAAUUAACUGAUUGUGGGCAAGCGAUCAGCAGCGGCUGGCAACACGACCACUUCCACCUCUUCCAUGUCAGAAUCUGCUUCAAUCUGUUGUCCUCUCUGAAAAUAAAUGAAACUAGACAAACACAGCUCCAUUUUACAGUCAUUCACCAUUUCUUUCUUUUAGGGCAUUCCCGA
Thunnus maccoyii (southern bluefin tuna) is the source of this 1103-nucleotide long non-coding RNA. RefSeq lists it as uncharacterized. The record is from RefSeq and is a predicted model, not a curated record. The transcript is spliced from 4 exons. Lineage: Eukaryota; Metazoa; Chordata; Actinopteri; Scombriformes; Scombridae.